Molecule: ribosomal RNA, 1044 nt
Filed under: uncultured bacterium
Lineage: Bacteria
Description: bacterial SSU rRNA
Rfam family: Bacterial small subunit ribosomal RNA
Source: RNAcentral
CUCCUACGGGAGGCAGCAGUGGGGAAUAUUGGACAAUGGGGGAAACCCUGAUGCAGCCACGCCGCGUGAAGGAUGAAGGCCUUCGGAUCGUAAACUUCUAUCAACAGGGACGAAGAAGGUGACGGUUCCUGAAUGGUAUGCCCCCGCGUAACUACAUGCCUACAGCUCGCGGUAAUUCCUAGGGGGCAAGCGUUGUCCUGAAUUACUGGGUGUCAAGGGAGCGUAUGCCUGACCCCAAGCCAUAUGCGAGAGCCCGUGGCUUACCCAUGCGGAUUGCCUUGGCUACUGGCGAGCUUUAGAGCAGGAAAUGAAAGAGUAAUUCCUAUUGUAGCGGGGAGGUGCGUCGAUAUUAGGAAGAACACCCGUGGCGAAGGCGGCUAUCUGGACUGGCGCUGGCGCUGAGGCUCGAAUGCGUGGGGAGCCAACAGGAUUAGAUACCCUGGCAGUCCAUGCCGUAUACGAUGAGUGCUCCGUGUCGGGGAGGAAUCCUGGGGGCCGCAGCUAACGCGAUAAGCACUCCGCCUGGGGAGUACGACCGCAAGGUUGAAACUCAAAGGAAUUGACGGGGGCCCGCACAAGCGGUGGAGCAUGUGGUUUAAUUCGAAGCAACGCGAAGAACCUUACCAAGGCUUGACAUCCAUAUGAUCGCUUCUAUAGAUAGAGAGUGUCUUCGGAGCAUCAUGUGACAGGUGGUGCAUGGUUGUCGUCAGCUCGUGUCGUGAGAUGUUGGGUUAAGUCCCGCAACGAGCGCAACCCUUAUCCUUAGUAGCCAUCGAUUAGGUGGGCACUUUAAGGAAGCCUCCCAGUAUUACACGGAAGAAAGGUGGGAAGGCGGCCAAUUCUCCAGGGCCCUAUCUAGUGGGGUUCCCCCCGUGUUCCAAGGGUGGAUACAGAGGGAAGCGAGCCGGCGACGGUAAGCAAAUCUCAAAAACCCAGUCCCAGUCCGGAUUGUAGUCUGCAACUCGACUCCAUGAAGUUGGAAUCGCUAGUAAUCGCGAAUCAGAAUGUCGCGGUGAAUACGUUCCCGGGCCUUGUACACACCGC